GACGAACGCUGGCGGCGUGCCUAAUACAUGCAAGUCGAACGCAGUGGGGACGGGUGAGUAACACGUUGGUAACCUCCCAUCAGAGGGGAUAACACUUGGAAACAGGUGCUAAACCGAUCCUGAUGGAUGGACCCCCGGUUCAUUAGCUAGUUGGUGAGGUAACGGCUCACCAAGGCCACGAUGCAGAGCAGACCUGAGAGGGUGCUCGGCCACACGGGGACUGAGACACGGCCGAGAAUCCUACGGGAGGCAGCAGUAGGGAAUCUUCGGCAAUGGACGAAAGUCUGACCGAGCAACGCCGCGGGAGUGAAGAAGGUUUUCGGAUCGUAAAACUCUGUUGUUAGAGAAGCGGUAUCUAACCAGAAAGCCACGGCUAACUACGUGCCAGCAGCCGCGGUAAUAC
This 403-nucleotide ribosomal RNA is filed under the name uncultured bacterium. RNAcentral's name for it is "partial 16S ribosomal RNA". It matches the Rfam family "Bacterial small subunit ribosomal RNA", at positions 28 to 526 of the family's 1533-position model. The record is from RNAcentral.